This 497-nucleotide ribosomal RNA is filed under the name uncultured bacterium. RNAcentral describes it as "partial 16S ribosomal RNA". It matches the Rfam family "Bacterial small subunit ribosomal RNA", at positions 28 to 507 of the family's 1533-position model. The record is from RNAcentral.
GAUGAACGCUGGCGGCGUGCCUAAUACAUGCAAGUCGAGCGAACGGACGAGAAGCUUGCUUCUCUGAUGUUAGCGGCGGACGGGUGAGUAACACGUGGAUAACCUACCUAUAAGACUGGGAUAACUUCGGGAAACCGGAGCUAAUACCGGAUAAUAUUUUGAACCGCAUGGUUCAAAAGUUAAAGACGGUCUUGCUGUCACUUAUAGAUGGAUCCGCGCUGCAUUAGCUAGUUGGUAAGGUAACGGCUUACCAAGGCAACGAUGCAUAGCCGACCUGAGAGGGUGAUCGGCAACGCUGGAAUGGGAGCACGGUCAAGACCCCUACGGGAGGCACAAGUAGGGAAUCUUCCGGAAUGGGCGAAAUCCUGACGGAGCAACGCCGCGUGAGUGAUGAAGGUCUUCGGAUCGUAAAACUCUGUUAUUAGGGAAGAACAUAUGUGUAAGUAACUGUGCACAUCAUGACGGUACCUAAUCAGAAAGCCACGGCUAACUACGUG